AUUGAACGCUGGCGGCAGGCCUAACACAUGCAAGUCGAGCGAGCGGCGGACGGGUGAGUAAUGUAUGGGGACUGCCCGAUAGAGGGGGAUAACUACUGGAAACGGUGGCUAAUACCGCAUACUGUCGGAUAACCCAUAUGGGAUUAGCUAGUAGGUAAGGUAAGGGCGUACCUAGGCGACGAUCCCUAGCUGGUCUGAGAGGAUGAUCAGCAAAGCUGAGACUGAGACACGGCCCAUGCUCCUACGGAGGCAGCAGUGGGGAAUAUUGCACAAUGGGCACAAGCCUGAAGCAGCCAGGCCGGGUGUAUGAAGAAGGCCCUAGGGUUGUAAAGUACUUUCAGUCGGGAGGGGUUACCGACAGAAAAAGCACCGGCUAACUCCGGGCCAGCGGCCGCGUAAUUC
RNAcentral lists this ribosomal RNA (402 nucleotides) under uncultured bacterium. RNAcentral's name for it is "partial 16S ribosomal RNA". It matches the Rfam family "Bacterial small subunit ribosomal RNA", at positions 30 to 526 of the family's 1533-position model. The record is from RNAcentral.